GGGAUUGCCUUAGUAACUGCGAGUGAAGCGGCAAAAGCUCAAAUUUGAAAUCUGGCGUCUUUGGCGUCCGAAUUGUAAUUUGGAGAGGCUACUUCGGAGAUGGUGCUGUCCUAAGUCCCUUGGAACAGGAUGACAUAGAGGGUGAGAUCCCCGUGCCAGGAUGGCUGUCCAUCUUCAUGUGAAUUGCCUUCGAAGAGUCGAGUUGUUUGGGAAUGCAGCUCAAAAUGGGUGGUAAAUUUCAUCUAAAGCUAAAUAUUGGCGAGAGACCGAUAGCGCACAAGUAGAGUGAUCGAAAGAUGAAAAGCACUUUGAAAAGAGAGUUAAAAAGUACGUGAAAUUGUUGAAAGGGAAGCGCUUGAGACCAGACUCGAUUCGUGGUGAUCAGCUGUGCUUCUGUACGGUGCACUCGCCAUGGAUUGGGCCAGCAUCGGUUCUGACGGUGGGAUAAAAGGUUGAGGAAUGUGUCUUCCUUCGGGGAGUGUUAUAGCCUCAGUCACAAUGCCACCAGCUGGGACCGAGGACCGCGCUUC
RNAcentral lists this ribosomal RNA (530 nucleotides) under uncultured Pezizales. RNAcentral's name for it is "eukaryotic LSU rRNA". It matches the Rfam family "Eukaryotic large subunit ribosomal RNA", at positions 71 to 603 of the family's 3401-position model. Lineage: Eukaryota; Fungi; Ascomycota; Pezizomycetes; Pezizales. The record is from RNAcentral.